RNAcentral lists this ribosomal RNA (257 nucleotides) under uncultured bacterium. RNAcentral describes it as "partial 16S ribosomal RNA". It matches the Rfam family "Bacterial small subunit ribosomal RNA", at positions 100 to 353 of the family's 1533-position model. The record is from RNAcentral.
ACGGGUGGAGUAACGCGUGGGUAACCGUGCCCUGUACAGGGGGAGUAACAGUCAGAAAUGACUGCUAAUACCGCAUAAGACCACAGCACCGCAUGGUGCAGGGGUAAAAACUACCGGUGGUACAGGAUGGACCCGCGUCUGAUUAGCUGGUUGGUGAGGUAACGGCUCACCAAGGCGACGAUCAGUAGCCGGCUUGAGAGAGUGAACGGCCACAUUGGGACUGAGACACGGCCCAAACUCCUACGGGAGGCAGCAUG